RNAcentral lists this transfer RNA (72 nucleotides) under Candidatus Woesearchaeota archaeon. Its description in RNAcentral is "tRNA-Gly". It matches the Rfam family "tRNA". Rfam says of the family: Transfer RNA (tRNA) molecules are approximately 80 nucleotides in length. Their secondary structure includes four short double-helical elements and three loops (D, anti-codon, and T loops). The record is from RNAcentral. Lineage: Archaea; Nanobdellati; Candidatus Woesearchaeota.
GCGCGAGUAGUUUAGUGGUUAUAAUUCGGCGUUGCCAACGCUGAGACCCGGGUUCGAGUCCCGGCUCGCGCA